AAGGGGUCACAAAGGGGAUGAGGUUUACCUGUUUGACUGGGAAGGAUUAGGCUGUUACCAUUUGUGCACAGGGCAUUUUUUUUUUUUUCAUUAGGGUCACAAUUCUUGUUGACAGGUGAUCGGUCGGCUCAUAGGUGGGACCCCCUGUAGUAUGGGGCCCCAUGAUUUCUUACAGCAGCUUCAAUGAAAAUCAGCGGCACUGAAUGCACCUUUGUCCACCUGUUGCCCCUAUCGUUAAAGGGGUUGUUCACCUUUAAACUAACUUUUAGUAUAAUGUAGAAAUUGAUAUUCGGAGAUAGUUUGCAAUUGGAUUUUUUUUUCUUGUUUGUGGUUUUUCUGUUCUUUGUCUUUUAGUUCAGCAGCUUUCAAGUUCGGAAUUUCAGCAGCUAUCUGGUUACUGGGGUCUUGUUUACCUUACAACCAGGCAGUGUUUUGAAUAAUGGACUGGACUAAUGGACUAAUAAUAACAAUAAAAUUGUAGCCUAAAAAAUUGUAGCCUUACAGAGCAAUAGUUUUUUUGAUGCUGGGGUCUGUGGACUCCCCCUUUGAAAGCUGGAAAGAUGAAGAACAGGAAGACAAAUUAUUCAAAAUUUAUAAAAAAAAAUAAAUAUAAAUAAAUAAUGAAAACCAACUGCAAAGCUGCUAGGAAUAGGACAUUCUAUAACAUAUUAAAAAAGGUGAACUACCCCUUUAAGUAUUUUCCUAGGACAGAAUGUAUUUGUGUUAGCUGGGAUGAGUAAAGCUGGUCAUGAUGGUCUGAUAUUAACUGCCAACUGGCCCCCCCAGACCUGGAGCUUAUUGACCUGGUGCACAGUUUGUCAGGUUUUUUCUUAGAUGUACUUAGUGAUACUGUGUAUGUCAUAAUAGAAUAUUUUCCCACUUCCCCCUUUUUUGCCUACAGCACAUGGAAUUUUGAUCACAACAGUUUCUUCAUUGAAAAUCAAAAAAAAAGCAGUAUGGCCAUCACGCAGCCAAGGUACACGGGAGCGGCAUGGACAACUCUUGCUGUUACCUACUCCAUGCCAGGCAUCAGUCAAGGGGUUAUCGCUGGCAUGGGGCUGAUGGAAGACCUUAGCACCAGGUUAUACCCGCAGUGACGCACAUGAAGCUUGAUCUUGGCACAGACUGAUAGGCCUUUGUGACAUUUAUAUGGAGAACAUUUUCUACUGGAGUUUGAAAUGUGUUUUGCCUCAAUGCUGGCAUCUGAUUAAAAGUCAUUUUAAUUGAUACAGUG
Long non-coding RNA from Xenopus tropicalis (tropical clawed frog), 1234 nucleotides. RefSeq lists it as uncharacterized. The transcript is spliced from 2 exons. Lineage: Eukaryota; Metazoa; Chordata; Amphibia; Anura; Pipidae. The record is from RefSeq and is a predicted model, not a curated record.